Molecule: long non-coding RNA, 1409 nt
Filed under: Mus musculus (house mouse)
Lineage: Eukaryota; Metazoa; Chordata; Mammalia; Rodentia; Muridae
Description: long non-coding RNA chr9:105163124-105164533
Source: RNAcentral
CGAGGAACCACCGUCUCCAGAUGCUCCCAGAUCUCUGCUUCUCUGGCAUUCUGGUGCCUUGCUCUCUUGAGGUAAUCGUAGACCUCCUCAAACGUUUCCAUUCCUAGCUUCUGUACAGCUGAUCUGUCAAGAAAGGGAGGAAAGAUUACAAGCCUCGCAUACAGAUCACUGGUAAGGAAAUAUAUUUUAAAGUCGGCCGUUGAACAAAUAACACUGUGCCCCUGGCAUUUGGGAGGGAGAAGAGAUGACCCUAAGGUGCAGAAUCUCACCCUCAGCAUUCAACAGUGGCCAACAAGCCAUGCUUAAGUGCUGGCUGAUUGUGUCCCAGGCACUCUUUCAGACACUGUGACCACAGCAGAAAAUACUUGAGAUAUAUUCUUGCCUUCACCCUCAUGUUUAUAUACAGUGGAUCUGUUGGUGUUUUGUUAUAAUAAACCAAGAAAGGCUACUUAUAAUGAAAAGAAAAUACAUCCAGCAAAAUACCCAGACACAACAUAAAAAUAAAAAUUUCAAAUAAAAUGUUAACAAUGGCACAGAAGACCUGAAGAGCAUUCACUCUGAACUCAGAGCCCAGCCCUCAACACUACAAGGGGGUACAGAUUCUUCUCUGACAUGGACAGGAACUAAUUGUAUAGGCAACAAAUCAGGUCUCAACAACAUUCAUGCACAUAAGCACAUUUAAAUCAUUUUCUAAAUUAUCGGUCAAAGAAAACAAAUCAACCAUGCGAUAAACUCAUGUGAGGCCAAGAGGAAGUGGGCAGUAGGCAGGCACUGCCACAAGGCAACACUGGUGGUGAUGUACGGUUAGACUCGGAGAACACAUUGAUAUUUCUACAAUGAUGUACUGGAAUGCUCAAGAUUCAUAAAAUGUAAACUCCUGUUUAAAGGGAUGUUCUUGCUGUUCUUUGUGUUUUCAGAAAGGAGGGCAGCAUCCUUUGUACUGUUCAUGUUAAAAAUGUCCGUGUCUCUUUGUAAUGGGGAGAAGUAAGGUAUGGAUGGAGGGGGGGGGCUAUCACUACCAUUCGAGUGCUCAAAUAAAAAGAAGUUUCAUUUUAAUUUUCCUGCCCCUUUUUAUAUGCCACUUCCUUUCUCAUGAAAGGAGUCAAAGGACUUCAGAGGUGCUUUAGGGACUCUACAAUGUCAGUUUUGCCCCAAUCCUUCGUUUACAGGUUGAACGGCACACAGGUGGGCAGGCAUCCAGGGACAACAGAGGACUACACACCCAGUUACCAGGCUUUUCAGGCAAGAAUGCUGUGGGCAGGAUAAUGGCACCCGAACAUGGAGUCCAGUGGCAAAGCCGCCCAGGUUCCAAAGCCUAAGCCAGGGCAAAUCACGCUCCUCUGUUUGGCUGAUGCAGACAGGAACCCAAGCUCCCAAGAGAGCAGGUCCUCUCUCCUCGACCAUCUUCC